Molecule: ribosomal RNA, 301 nt
Filed under: Rhodospirillaceae bacterium
Lineage: Bacteria; Pseudomonadati; Pseudomonadota; Alphaproteobacteria; Rhodospirillales; Rhodospirillaceae
Description: partial 16S ribosomal RNA
Rfam family: Bacterial small subunit ribosomal RNA
Source: RNAcentral
UUUAACUUGAGAGUUUGAUCCUGGCUCAGAACGAACGCUGGCGGCAUGCCUAACACAUGCAAGUCGAACGAAGGCCCAGAGCUUGCUUUGGUGUCCUUAGUGGCGGACGGGUGAGUAACGCGUGGGAACCUACCUUGGAGCGGGGAAUAACCAUUGGAAACGAUGGCUAAUACCGCAUACGCCCUUUGGGGGAAAGGCUUCGGCCACUCCAAGACGGUCCCGCGUCUGAUUAGCUAGUUGGUAGGGUAAUGGCUUACCAAGGCGACGAUCAGUAGCUGGUCUGAGAGGAUGAUCAGCCACA